AUUGCAUUUAGGCUUCAAACUUCAUAAAAGUUAUGUUCAUUUGUGAAAAUUAUCUUGGAAAAAACGUGUUAGCAAUGUAAACUUUUGUUAAUCACAGAGUUUUUGUUUUUUUUUGCAAUAAUCUAAAAGUCUAUGGGAAAAUCCUAUUGAGUUUUUGUCGAGGGAACCAGUGUGAUGCUAACUUCCGGGUUCCGGUACAAAAUGACGUCAACCCUGCACCACUCUAUUGGGUGAUUUGGCUGCGUCUCUCCUCCAGUAAACACUUAUUGCAUUUUCUGCAAAGGCCUGAUUUUUUUUCAUUUGGGUGCAUAGUGUUAUAUUUGGUUGAUUGCAUAUUUAUUUUUACUUAUAUUUUGGAUACAAUUUUACUUAUAUUUUGCUUGUACGCGAUGAUGCACUUUAAGGACCAGUCUAACUUGAUGCACAGAUUAGUACAUUAGCAGGAAUGUAGCACAACAUGGAGGUGAAAGCAGUGGUCUGUUUAUUUAAAUGUGAAAGUGCAAAAAAAAAAAAAAAAAAAAAAAGUGUCCCUAAAAUCAAUGAAAAUUCAUGAUAAAUAAUCGUGAUCUCCAUAUUUAUAAAAUAAUCGUGAUCAUAAUUUUGGCCAUAAUAAGUAUGUAAAUUUUAUUUAUAAAACAUAUUUAACAUAGUGAAGCUAACCAAAGUGCUGAACAGAGUAAAGAAAAGUAAAAGAGAAAACAGAAUAAACCAAAUAAAGACAGACAAUGGUAAAAAAUUUGACUGAAAUGCCUGGGAGAAGAGAUAUGUUUUCAGCCUCAUUUUAAAAAUAGUAACUGAAGGUGCAAGGCGGAUGUAAGAUAAGAUAAGAUAACCUUUAUUGAUCUCACACUUGGGAAAUUCCCUCGUUACAGCAGCUCAAUUACACAAAAAACAGAUAGGAAAGAAUACACAUUAAAUAGGAAUAGAAUUGAAAUAAAAGUAUCUAUCUAUCUAUAUCUCUCUCUCUCUCUCUCUCUCUCUCUCUCUCUCUCUCUCUCUCU
Long non-coding RNA from Ictalurus punctatus (channel catfish), 1001 nucleotides. Lineage: Eukaryota; Metazoa; Chordata; Actinopteri; Siluriformes; Ictaluridae. The record is from Ensembl.